UGGGGAAUAUUGGACAAUGGGGGAAACCCUGAUCCAGCGACGCCGCGUGGGUGAAGAAGGCCUGCGGGUUGUAAAGCCCUUUCGGUUGGGAAGAAAAGUUGCGACCUAACACGUCGCGACCUUGACGUAACCAACUAAAGAAGCACCGGCUAACUCUGUGCCAGCAGCCGCGGUAAUACAGAGGGUGCGAGCGUUAAUCGGAAUUACUGGGCGUAAAGCGCGCGUAGGCGGCUUGGCAAGUCGGGUGUGAAAUCCCCGGGCUCAACCUGGGAACUGCAUUCGAGACUGCUUUGCUAGAGUAUGGGAGAGGGAAGUGGAAUUUCCGGUGUAGCGGUGAAAUGCGUAGAUAUCGGAAGGAACAUCAGUGGCGAAAGCGACUUCCUGGACCAAUACUGACGCUCAUGUGCGAAAGCGUGGGGAGCAAACA
RNAcentral lists this ribosomal RNA (427 nucleotides) under uncultured bacterium. RNAcentral's name for it is "bacterial SSU rRNA". It matches the Rfam family "Bacterial small subunit ribosomal RNA", at positions 355 to 774 of the family's 1533-position model. The record is from RNAcentral.